Molecule: long non-coding RNA, 789 nt
Organism: Lemur catta (Ring-tailed lemur)
Lineage: Eukaryota; Metazoa; Chordata; Mammalia; Primates; Lemuridae
Exons: 3
Source: RefSeq, a predicted model, not a curated record
GCCGCGGGCCUCGGGCGGCCGCAGGGCGCUGGGGUCGCCGCGGGGCUCGACCGCGCGUUACUCAGUUCGGCCAAAAGGGCUCACGCGGUGCGGCUUGUCGGCCUCCUUCUGCGAGACUCGGGACUCCAGGUGGGAGAAGCCGCAGACCCAGCUGGAGCCAAAGCCUCUCUCCUCCUCCCAGGGCCGCGGAGGGGCCAGGAUGCUGCUGGGCGCCGGGAGCCGCGUCCACUUCGGUGGCGGAAGCGCCAUGCCGACUCCGGUUCUUGGAAGCGAAACGCUUCUUGGGCUGCAGCUCCGGGCGCCGCUCAGCCAGGGCCACCCACAGCCGCGCCAGCGUCUCCUGUCCCCGCCACGGGCCGCAGGCAGCCAGGAACAAAACCGCGGCCUUGAAGUUUCUGCAGCCCCCGGAGCUGAGAUGCCGACUCCCCGCCCUCCAGAACCUUCCGCGCCGCUCGCUCCCGCGAAGGCAGCAGUGAAAAGCUAAAGAAGUAAACAGGUCAUGGCACAUUUAACAAAAAGAUGACAGGUGGAUACAAAAGCUAUCCAGCAUCUUUGGGCAGCCAUUGAGAUUAUACGGAACCAGAAGCAAAUUGCCAACAUUGACUGUAUUACAAAAUUUCCAAUCAAGAUGUAAAGGGUGAAGAAUCAAAGAACAAAGAAUCAGUAACAAGUGAAAUUUAAGCCUUUCAAUCAUGCAGAUUCCUAAUAUGAUUCAUAACUCAUUGUCAUGUUAUUUCUCUAAAUGCCAUGUAUAGUUUAAUGUCCAAUAAAAUCAAGUUACAUAUAUCA